UCCGUAGGUGAACCUGCGGAAGGAUCAUUAAAGAAUUGCCCCGUCCUCUCGAGGAUGGGUCCUCUUCUAAACCGUGUAUACAUACCUUUGUUGCUUUGGCGGGCCGCCGUCUCGGCGUUGGCUUCGGCUGACUGUGCCCGCCAGAGGACCCCAACUCUUCUGUUUAGUAUUGUCUGAGUACUAUAUAAUAGUUAAAACUUUCAACAACGGAUCUCUUGGUUCUGGCAUCGAUGAAGAACGCAGCGAAAUGCGAUAAGUAAUGUGAAUUGCAGAAUUCAGUGAAUCAUCGAAUCUUUGAACGCACAUUGCGCCCCUUGGUAUUCCGAGGGGCAUGCCUGUUCGAGCGUCAUUAUAACCACUCAAGCCUCGGCUUGGUAUUGGGGUUUCGCGGUCUCGCGGCCCUUAAAACCAGUGGCGGUGCCAUCUGGCUCUAAGCGUAGUAAUUCUCUCGCUACAGGGUCCAGGUGGUUACUUGCCAAAACCCCCUAUUUUCUAUGGUUGACCUCGGAUCAGGUAGGGAUACCCGCUGAACUUAAGCAUAUCAAUAAGCGGAGGA
RNAcentral lists this ribosomal RNA (556 nucleotides) under fungal endophyte sp. shylsm30. RNAcentral's name for it is "eukaryotic LSU rRNA". The stretch from base 196 to 349 matches the Rfam family "5.8S ribosomal RNA". Lineage: Eukaryota; Fungi. The record is from RNAcentral.